Molecule: ribosomal RNA, 433 nt
Filed under: uncultured bacterium
Lineage: Bacteria
Description: partial 16S ribosomal RNA
Rfam family: Bacterial small subunit ribosomal RNA
Source: RNAcentral
AACGAACGCUGGCGGCAUGCCUAACACAUGCAAGUCGAACGAGACCUUCGGGUCUAGUGGCGCACGGGUGCGUAACGCGUGGGAACCUGCCCUUAGGUUCGGAAUAACUCCCCGAAAGGGGUGCUAAUACCGGAUAAUGUCUUCGGACCAAAGAUUUAUGGCCUUUGGAUGGGCCCGCGUUGGAUUAGCUAGUUGGUAGGGUAAAAGCCUACCAAGGCGACGAUCCAUAGCUGGUCUGAGAGGAUGAUCAGCCACACUGGGACUGAGACACGGACCAGACUGCUACGGGAGGCAGCAGUGGGGAAUAUUGGACAAGGGGCGAAAGCCUGAUCAAGCAAUGCCGCGUGAGUGAUGAAGGCCUUAGGGUUGUAAAGCUCUUUUACCCGGGAUGAUAAUGACAGUACCGGGAGAAUAAGCGCCGGCUAACUCCGUG